This 171-nucleotide ribosomal RNA is filed under the name Ureibacillus antri. RNAcentral's name for it is "Lysinibacillus sp. SYSU K30002 partial 16S ribosomal RNA". It matches the Rfam family "Bacterial small subunit ribosomal RNA", at positions 1 to 168 of the family's 1533-position model. The record is from RNAcentral. Lineage: Bacteria; Bacillati; Bacillota; Bacilli; Caryophanales; Caryophanaceae.
UUUAUGGAGAGUUUGAUCCUGGCUCAGGACGAACGCUGGCGGCGUGCCUAAUACAUGCAAGUCGAGCGGACCUUAAGGAGCUUGCUCCUUAAGGUUAGCGGCGGACGGGUGAGUAACACGUGGGCAACCUGCCCUGUAGUUGGGGAUAACUCCGGGAAACCGGAGCUAAUA